GGCAGCAGCCGCGGUAACACCGGCGGCCCGAGUGGUGAUCGUGAUUAUUGGGUCUAAAGGGUCCGUAGCCGGUUUGGUCAGUCCUCCGGGAAAUCUGAUAGCUCAACUAUUAGGCUUUCGGGGGAUACUGCCAGACUUGGAACCGGGAGAGGUAAGAGGUACUACAGGGGUAGGAGUGAAAUCUUGUAAUCCCUGUGGGACCACCUGUGGCGAGGGCGUCUUACCAGAACGGGUUCGACGGUGAGGGACGAAAGCUGGGGGCACGAACCGGAUUAGAUACCCGGGUAGUCCCAGCCGUAAACGAUGCUCGCUAGGUGUCAGGCAUGGCGCGACCGUGUCUGGUGCCGCAGGGAAGCCGUGAAGCGAGCCACCUGGGAAGUACGGCCGCAAGGCUGAAACUUAAAGGAAUUGGCGGGGGAGCACAACAACGGGUGGAGCCCUGCGGUUUAAUUGGACUCAACGCCGGACAACUCACCGGGGGCGACAGCAAUAUGUAGGCCAAGCUGAAGACUUUGCCUGAAUCGCUGAGGAGUGGUGCAUGG
Molecule: ribosomal RNA, 542 nt
Filed under: uncultured archaeon
Lineage: Archaea
Description: bacterial SSU rRNA
Rfam family: Archaeal small subunit ribosomal RNA
Source: RNAcentral